This 74-nucleotide transfer RNA is filed under the name Camelus bactrianus (Bactrian camel). It matches the Rfam family "tRNA". From Rfam's summary of the family: Transfer RNA (tRNA) molecules are approximately 80 nucleotides in length. Their secondary structure includes four short double-helical elements and three loops (D, anti-codon, and T loops). RNAcentral also lists the same sequence under 2 other names. The record is from Rfam by way of RNAcentral. Lineage: Eukaryota; Metazoa; Chordata; Mammalia; Artiodactyla; Camelidae.
GAGGGUAUAGCUCAGAGUGGUAGAGGGCAUGCCUAGCAUGCGCGGGGUCCUGGGUUCAAUCCCCAGUACCUUCA